Molecule: long non-coding RNA, 669 nt
Filed under: Equus caballus (horse)
Lineage: Eukaryota; Metazoa; Chordata; Mammalia; Perissodactyla; Equidae
Description: lncRNA (ENSECAG00000044035.1)
Source: RNAcentral
AUCCACUACAAGAAACCAACAUGGUUUGAGGGAUCAAUUCCAGAAAGCUUAGAUAGGCUCCCCUGGGAUUAUAACACAGUGCCAAAGAGUCAUAUGAAGCUCAUGAAAUGCCAGGGUAUCCAUCAUAAGGGCAGGGUACAAAAGUGGGGAAUUUAAUAGACCAAUAGUUCUCUGGCCAUGCAAACCAAACUCCAGCCAGCAGACCAGAAAAAGUCUGGAACUAGUCCCAUGGAAGUGAAUGACAAGGCAUAAGAAGGGUACAAGGGACACAGGCAAAGGAACUGAGUUUCAAGGAGUGGCCACAUGGAACUGUUUGGUGCAACAGGACAUAAGCAGAAGUGCACUGGGUAUGUCUCCUAGAGAUGUGCUUACUCUUCUAACAGAAGAAACAGAGGUCUCCAUUCCCUACAUCUUCCUGCUUUAAAUCGUUAAGAUGUGAUGCUAGAGCUUUCAGUACAUUGACUCUGGAGAAAGAAAAAAAGAAUGACUUAAUUAAAGAGCGCUGUCACAGCCUACCAAGUCCAGCAUCUGGGGAAUUUCUUCUCUCUGCCUUGAUUUUACAAUAUUUUGUGAAACCAGAAUCUCAUAAAUAGUGGAAAAAAUGAAACAUCAUAAUUUUUCAAGGUUGAGCACUUACUGAGGGGAGAUGUCCAGAAUGAUACUAAUGGG